Molecule: long non-coding RNA, 780 nt
Filed under: Helianthus annuus (common sunflower)
Lineage: Eukaryota; Viridiplantae; Streptophyta; Magnoliopsida; Asterales; Asteraceae
Source: RNAcentral
AAGUUGGGGGCUUAUCCCAAGCUUUGACUUUUGAUUAAGCAUUUUGGUCAAAUUGAGGGGUAUCGUUAGUUAUGUUCUAUGCCAUGUUGUCAAAAGCUCAAGGCGCACGUAAGGCUAGUGCGCUUUUGACAACAUACACUUUCUACUAAUGGCUACUGAGUUGGAAGCUAAUGCAAAGCCAUUGAGGUGAUCUCUGGUGACUUGAUAUCAGGUUUCUCUUGAUACCAAAAAAGGCUGGGGUAGUGGGUUGGCGCGCGAUGGUGGAAAGGCUUCCGACAUUGGUGACACUUUCAAGGAAAGGCAUUCAGCCAGUUUCUGAACUAUGUCCGCUGUGCAACGAAGUCCCGGAAACUUGUGAACACCUUUUCGUCUCUUGUCAGUUCGCCCAAUCACUCUGCAAUGGUGCAAGAUUCCAGAAUUUAUCGCUUUCAGCCUCAACGACAUACUUCUGAUUGAUGGCUUCGUGUCUGGCUCAUCUAAAAGGGGAAAGACUAUUCACGCAGUAGCUCUUGUCUUCGUAUGGAGUAUUUGGCGGAUGAGAAAUAAAGUCGUAUUCGAACAAGCCGCUGUCUCGGUUCCGAUGGUCGUGGAGGAAAUCAAAGGUAUGAGUUUUCAAUGGGUAAAAUUUCGAUCGAAAGAGGCAUGCCUGACCUGGGAUAGAUGGAAGUUUUUGACUUUGUUUCGUAUAUGUAGUUCUGCUCAUAUAAUUCUGUCUAUACUUUGUUAUGAGUUUGAGGUUGUAACUUUGGUUGAUGUAAUUAUGGUGCUAGCACCUUGCUA